UUGACCUCGGAUCAGGUAGGGAUACCCGCUGAACUUAAGCAUAUCAAUAAGCGGAGGAAAAGAAACCAACAGGGAUUGCCCCAGUAACGGCGAGUGAAGCGGCAAGAGCUCAAAUUUGAAAGCUGGCUCCUUCGGGGUCCGCAUUGUAAUUUGCAGAGGAUGCUU
This 165-nucleotide ribosomal RNA is filed under the name Penicillium marinum. RNAcentral's name for it is "partial 28S ribosomal RNA". It matches the Rfam family "Eukaryotic large subunit ribosomal RNA", at positions 1 to 164 of the family's 3401-position model. Lineage: Eukaryota; Fungi; Ascomycota; Eurotiomycetes; Eurotiales; Aspergillaceae. The record is from RNAcentral.